RNAcentral lists this ribosomal RNA (251 nucleotides) under uncultured prokaryote. Its description in RNAcentral is "partial 16S rRNA". It matches the Rfam family "Bacterial small subunit ribosomal RNA", at positions 525 to 775 of the family's 1533-position model. The record is from RNAcentral.
ACGGAGGAUGCAAGCGUUAUCCGGAUUUAUUGGGUUUAAAGGGUGCGCAGGCGGUUUUACAAGUCCGUUGUGAAAGCUUGUCGCUUAACGUCAGGAUUGCCUUUGAUACUGUAUGACUUGAGUAUAGCUGAGGUAUACGGAAUUUCUAGUGUAGAGGUGAAGAUCCUAGAGAUUAGGAGGAGCGCCGAUGGCGGAGGAAGUAUACUGGGCUAAGACUGACGCUGAGGCGCGUAAGCGUGGGAAACAAAAAG